RNAcentral lists this ribosomal RNA (253 nucleotides) under uncultured bacterium. RNAcentral's name for it is "partial 16S ribosomal RNA". It matches the Rfam family "Bacterial small subunit ribosomal RNA", at positions 524 to 776 of the family's 1533-position model. The record is from RNAcentral.
UACGAAGGUGGCAAGCGUUGUUCGGAUUUACUGGGCGUAAAGAGCGCGCAGGCGGCCCAUCAAGUCAGAUGUGAAAUAACCAGGCUUAACCUGGUGGGGUCAUUUGAAACUGGCGGGCUAGAGUCCAGUAGAGGAUAGCGGAAUUCCCGGUGUAGUGGUGAAAUGCGUAGAUAUCGGGAGGAACACCAGUGGCGAAGGCGGCUAUCUGGGCUGGAACUGACGCUGAGGCGCGAAGGCUAGGGGAGCAAACAGG